Non-coding RNA from Crenichthys baileyi (White River springfish), 73 nucleotides. The record is from the annotation of a GenBank genome assembly. Lineage: Eukaryota; Metazoa; Chordata; Actinopteri; Cyprinodontiformes; Goodeidae.
GGGGAGUGAGCUCAAAUGGGAGAGUGCUUGCUUAGCAUGCAAGAGAUAUUGGGAUCAAUGCCUGCAUUCUCCA